Molecule: ribosomal RNA, 485 nt
Filed under: uncultured bacterium
Lineage: Bacteria
Description: partial 16S ribosomal RNA
Rfam family: Bacterial small subunit ribosomal RNA
Source: RNAcentral
AUUGAACGCUGGCGGCAUGCCUUACACAUGCAAGUCGAACGGCAGCACGGGUGCUUGCACCUGGUGGCGAGUGGCGAACGGGUGAGUAAUACAUCGGAACAUGUCCUGUAGUGGGGGAUAGCCCGGCGAAAGCCGGAUUAAUACCGCAUACGAUCUACGGAUGAAAGCGGGGGACCUUCAGGCCUCGCGCUAUAGGGUUGGCCGAUGGCUGAUUAGCUAGUUGGUGGGGUAAGGCCUACCAAGGCGACGAUCAGUAGCUGGUCUGAGAGGACGACCAGCCACACUGGGACUGAGACACGGCCCAGACUCCUACGGGAGGCAGCAGUGGGGAAUUUUGGACAAUGGGCGAAAGCCUGAUCCAGCAAUGCCGCGUGUGUGAAGAAGGCCUUCGGGUUGUAAAGCACUUUUGUCCGGAAAGAAAUCCUUGGCCCUAAUACGGUCGGGGGAUGACGGUACCGGAAGAAUAAGCACCGGCUAACUACGUG